CAAAAACAUCGCCUCUUGAACAAAAAUAAGAGGUCCAGCCUGCCCAGUGACAAAUGUUCAACGGCCGCGGUAUCCUAACCGUGCGAAGGUAGCGUAAUCACUUGUUCUUUAAAUGAGGACUAGUAUGAAUGGCACCACGAGGGUUGCACUGUCUCCUUUCCCUAAUCAAUGAAACUAAUCUCCCCGUGAAGAAGCGGGGGUACUAAUAUAAGACGAGAAGACCCUAUGGAGCUUUAAAUUUCUCUUCAAACGCCAGACACAAACAUCUGACACUUUACAUUAACCCGACGCCUUGAAGAUGAAUUUUAGGUUGGGGUGACCAUGGAGAACAAAAUAACCUCCACGCUGAAAAGGCCUCCAAGCCUUGAGCCGAGGGCUACAACCCAACGCACUAAAAAAUUAACACCCAUUGACCCAAUACUUUUGAUCAACGAACCAAGUUACCCUAGGGAUAACAGCGCAAUCUACUUCAAGAGUCCCUAUCGACAAGUGGGUUUACGACCUCGAUGUUGGAUCAGGGUAUCCCAGUGGUGCAGCCGCUACUAAAGGUUCGUUUGUUCAACGAUUAAAACCCU
Molecule: ribosomal RNA, 575 nt
Filed under: Scinax fuscovarius group sp. ABGD cluster 22
Lineage: Eukaryota; Metazoa; Chordata; Amphibia; Anura; Hylidae
Description: partial large subunit ribosomal RNA
Rfam family: Bacterial large subunit ribosomal RNA
Source: RNAcentral